UAACACAUGGCAAGUCGAGCGAAUCUGAUGGGAGCUUGCUCCCUGAUGAUUAGCGGCGGACGGGUGAGUAACACGUGGGUAACCUGCCUGUAAGACUGGGAUAACUCCGGGAAACCGGGGCUAAUACCGGAUAACUUUUUUCUUCGCAUGAGGGAGAAUUGAAAGAUGGCUUCGGCUAUCACUUACAGAUGGACCCGCGGCGCAUUAGCUAGUUGGUGAGGUAACGGCUCACCAAGGCGACGAUGCGUAGCCGACUUGAGAGGGUGAUCGGCCACACUGGGACUGAGACACGGCCCAGACUCCUACGGGAGGCAGCAGUAGGGAAUCUUCCGCAAUGGACGAAAGUCUGACGGAGCAACGCCGCGUGAGUGAUGAAGGUUUUCGGAUCGUAAAACUCUGUUGUUAGGGAAGAACAAGUAUCGUUCGAAUAGGGCGGUACCUUGACGGUACCUAACCAGAAAGCCACGGCUAACUACGUGCCAGCAGCCGCGGUAAUACGU
Molecule: ribosomal RNA, 500 nt
Filed under: Heyndrickxia oleronia
Lineage: Bacteria; Bacillati; Bacillota; Bacilli; Caryophanales; Bacillaceae
Description: bacterial SSU rRNA
Rfam family: Bacterial small subunit ribosomal RNA
Source: RNAcentral